GCCAUUUCUCAUACGCUGCAGCGCAAGCUUAUUUCUCCGAGGACAAGGACAUUCAUCAUGAUUAUUGUUUUUUUAAGGCUUAAUCUCCAGUGAUGCUCUCUCCCUCUGAAUUUGAAUACUGCCAUUUCCUCAUAAGAAUUUCACAUUGUAUCCCACGGAAAACCACAGGAGUUACUUACAGACGGGAGGGAGAGGAGGAAGCCACCCCGGAACCGGUGAUCGGGAACCGAGAAGAAGGCUACAGUGAGCCAGGUGGCGGGACGCGGGGGCCACUGCGGCCUCACUCCGGGGGCUAUUCCUGCGGACCGGUCUCUCUGUGAGGAGCAGGGAUGCCGUCUUGGAGCUCCUGCAAGUCUCACAGUAUUGGAGCCGCUGAGCAAGAGAGUGGAACGGUGUUUGGAGCAGCGGGGAGCACAGAGCCAGCACGGAGCACGGGGUCCUGCGCAACAGAGGUGCUUGUGUUCCUUCCAGAGUUGAUUUUGCAGUUCUGGAGGCUGAAGUCCAAGACCAAGAUGCCAGCAGAUCCCAUGUCUGGCACUCAGUACCCGCAGGGAGCCUUGCACCCCGUCUGGCUUUGGAGUUAUCACGCCACGCCGGGGUCAGCAGACAGGCUGUUGACGGGAUCGCAAGUUCAGAAGCGCGCGUCCGUCAAGCGGGAAGAGUCCGGACUCCAUAUUGACAUCUUCCAGGCCAGCGCGUUCCAUUCCAAGUGGUGGGAGCAUUAGCACCAGCAGGUGGAAUCGGUUCCUCCAACGGUUUAGGACGAGUGUGCCGGACACGCUGUUGCUUCCUGCGGAUCACACACCAGCCUUCUC
RNAcentral lists this long non-coding RNA (815 nucleotides) under Equus caballus (horse). Its description in RNAcentral is "lncRNA (ENSECAG00000041187.2)". The record is from RNAcentral. Lineage: Eukaryota; Metazoa; Chordata; Mammalia; Perissodactyla; Equidae.